AUGCCGUUCGGACUCUGCAACGCGCCGGCCACGUUCCAGGCCCUCAUGAAUGAUCUGCUGCGGCCAUACCUGCGCCGUUUUGUUCUCGUCUUCUUUGACGACAUCCUCAUUUUCAGCGAGACAUGGGCUGACCAUCUCCGACAUGUGCGCACCGUCUUCACGGUCCUGCACCAGCACCGGCUCUUCGUCAAGCGCUCCAAAUGCGCGUUCGCCGUUGAAUCAAUCGCAUACCUGGGUCACACCAUCUCCGCUGCAGGCGUGGCCAUGGAUCCGGAAAAGGUGCAGGCAGUAGCGGAAUGGCCGCAACCACGCUCGGCGCGCGCGGUUCGGGGCUUUCUCGGCCUUGCGGGGUACUACCGCAAGUUUGUCAAGGACUUUGGCGUGGUUGCCGCGCCCCUGACGGCCCUCCUUCGCAAGGAUGGUUUCUCUUGGUCACCGGAGGCGGCAGCAGCUUUUACCACCCUCAAGACGGCAAUCACCACGGCUCCCGUCCUCGCGUUACCGGAUUUUACACGGCCGUUCAUCGUCGAGUGUGACGCAUCGACGUACGGUUUCGGGGCCGUCCUUCUUCAGGACCACCACCCGGUGGCUUUCUUUAGCCGGCCAGCCGCGCCACGUCACCGUUCCCUGGCAGCGUAUGAACGGGAACUCAUCGGCCUGGUGCUCGCGAUUCGCCAUUGGAGGCCGUACCUAUGGGGGCGUCAAUUUGUGGUAAAAACGGAUCAUUACAGCCUCAAAUUUCUGCUUGACCAGCGUUUGGCCACCAUCCCGCAGCAUCAUUGGGUUGGCAAACUCCUGGGAUUCGACUUUACGGUGGAGUACAAGGCAGGUAGUACCAACACGGUGGCGGAUGCACUUUCCCGCCGUGACACGGAGGAGACGACGAUCAUGGCGGUCUCAGGGCCUCGUUUCGACUUCAUCAAUCGCCUCCGGCAAGCGACGUCCACUGAUCCGGCGCUCGUCACACUGCGGGAGGAUAUCACGGCAGGUGCGCGGCAACAGCCUUGGGCGCUCUCCGACGGCCUCGUUACCUUCAACGGCCGCCUCUACAUUCCGCCGUCAUCCCCGCUACUCCAGGAGAUUCUCAGUGCCGUGCACGAUGAUGGGCAUGAAGGCGUCCUGCGCACAUUGCAUCGUCUUCGCCGCGAUUUCCGCGCACCUAACCUUCGCAAGACAGUGCAGGAGUACAUCCGCACUUGCGGUACUUGCCAGCGGUACAAGUCCGAGCACUUGCACCCUGCUGGGCUGCUCCUGUCGCUGCCGGUACCCACGGGCGUGUGGACUGACAUCGGCAUCGACUUCGUGGAAGCGCUUCCUCGAGUAGGCGGGAAGUCUGUCAUCCUCACCGUGGUGGAUCGCUUCAGCAAGUAUUGCCAUUUUGUGGCGUUAGCCCACCCAUACACGGCAGAGUCAGUGGCACAGGUGUUCUUCGCUGAGGUUGUUCGUCUCCACGGCGUACCACAGUCCAUGGUCUCUGACCGCGACCCCGUCUUCACCUCCGCUUUUUGGCAAGAGCUCAUGCGCCUCACGGGGACAAAGCUGCACAUGACGUCCGCAUUUCACCCGCAGUCGGAUGGGCAAACGGAGGCUGCUAACAAGAUCAUUGUGAUGUAUUUACGGUGUCUUACCGGGGAUCGUCCCAAGCAGUGGCUCCGGUGGCUUCCCUGGGCUGAGUACAUAUACAACACCGCCUACCAGACAGCAACCCAAGAGACUCCGUUCAAGCAUGUGUAUGGCCGUGACCCUCCCACUAUUCUCUCUUACGAGCCCGGCGACACACGGGUGGCUGCAGUGGCCAGGAGCAUGGCUGAGCGCGACGAACUUAUCGAGGACGUCCGCUAUCGUCUACAACAGGCACAGGCGGUCUAUAAGUCCUACUACGACAGACGUCAUAGGGACAUUCGGCAUGAGGUGGGCGAUUGGGUUUGGCUUCGCCUUCGACAGCGCGCCGCGUCCUCUCUCAACUUGCCAACCAGGGGCAAGCUCAAGCCACGAUUCUAUGGGCCGUACCGCAUUUCAGAAGUGAUCAACGACGUGGCAUACCGUCUUGAGCUUCCGGCGCGCUCGCGCCUCCAUGACGUGUUCCACGUGGGCCUCCUCAAGAAGUUCUUCGGCAUUCCUCCAACUACACCGCCGGGAUUGCCUUCGAUCCACAACGGGGCGGCUGUUCCAGAACCAGAGCGCGUGACUCGUGCGCGCCUAGCACGCGGCGUUCGCCAGCUACUCGUCCACUGGAAGGGUGAAGCAGCUUCGUCAGCUACAUGGGAGGAUCUUGACAGUUUCAUCGAGCGCUACCCCGCUUUUCAGCUCAAGGACGAGCUGCUCGUCGAGGGGGGGAGAGAUGUCAUGUGGGGCACGUCUUACAGACAUGGGCCGCGCGGCCAGGAGCAGCCGACGGCCGCAUCAGGCAAGGCGCAGGCUGGACAGGAGUCCUGA
RNAcentral lists this ribosomal RNA (2436 nucleotides) under Triticum aestivum (bread wheat). RNAcentral's name for it is "partial small subunit ribosomal RNA". The record is from RNAcentral. Lineage: Eukaryota; Viridiplantae; Streptophyta; Magnoliopsida; Poales; Poaceae.